CGGAACUUUCCCCCGGCCCGGGGAAGUGUCUUUGGCGCACUUCGGUGUGCUGUUUCUGGAUGAGCUGCCUGAGUUCAAACGCGGGGUGCUGG
RNAcentral lists this transfer RNA (92 nucleotides) under Bacteroidetes bacterium ADurb.BinA104. Its description in RNAcentral is "tRNA-Gln". The record is from RNAcentral. Lineage: Bacteria; Pseudomonadati; Bacteroidota.